UUGUUUGCUGAUUGCAGGGUCAAAUGGGGUAACUUAGCUGUCUGAACCUCUGAUAUGCUGGGCAUUUGCAGGACCCAGGGAAACCUAGAUUUAAGUAGCUGAGUGACACCACUGGCAGAUAACCCUGGCAAGAGGAAGCAGAAAUAAUGGACGUGCAGAAAAGCCUCUCAUCAUUAACAUUCAAAGCAGAACUGAAGGGAAGGAAACAGUAUGCAACUUUGAUCCACUUUUUUAUUUUUUGAAAAAAUGACAACAGAUAAAAAGCAACUAACAACAAAAAGACAAGUGUAUGGGAAGGAAUAAUUAGGACUCAAGCCAGUCUUCAUACAGUAGUAGCUUCAGAAAAGGUACAUGGUCUGAUGUUUUCUCUGAAGUCCAAACUGUGGCAUCUCAAAGAUAAACUCACACAACUUUUAGACAUCUUUCUGUCCCCAGGUGCUUUGAGGGAGAGACUGACUUGUAAAUAUUUUGAUUUUGGUUUAUCUCCUCUUGUCUCUGCACUUAAUGUUCAGUUCUGGGAACUGAAAUGUAUUCCAGCUCAGCCAUUCUUCCUGGGAAGCAGCUAGCUUCUACUGCCUGGGAAAGUCCAUAUGUGAUUCUGGUGUUUACAUAAACAGCUAGUAACUUAUCACCUGUCCUCACAUAUGAGAGUAAGAAGGGCUGCUCAGUACGAUACUUAUGGUAAAAGCAGAAUUUUACUCCAUAAUUUCUGUACUCUUAAGGUUACAUGUACUACGCUUCAGCCAAAACAGAGCAGAAGUGAAACUCCAGCCUGGACAAGACAGUUUUGCUUCCUCUGCGUGAUGGACACAAAUGCUUUCAGAUCUGCUGAUUUGGUAGAAGUGAACUUGGAUCAUCCAGGACCAUGUUAUUGGGGCUCCACCUUACGGCAGAUGAGAGCAGAAUGGCAGUGGCAUUAUAACUUCUCCAGGUUAGAAACUAGGGAGAAGAAAUUUGAUAUGAUACGAUAUUUUGCUUUGGGCCAAAAAAGAAUGCAUUCUCCAAACAGAGAAUGCAUUUUUUCAUAGUGCCUCAAGAUCUAUGCAAAAUAAGAGUAUUUCUAGUAGUUCUAUUUUUACAGCGUCUUACAUAAUAAUGAUUUAUUUGGCAUGAACAUAACUGUGCAGACAAUUAAAAAACAUCUCUUUUUCAAGUAAUUUGUAAUCUCUG
This 1170-nucleotide long non-coding RNA is filed under the name Numida meleagris (helmeted guineafowl). RNAcentral's name for it is "lncRNA (ENSNMEG00000005819.1)". Lineage: Eukaryota; Metazoa; Chordata; Aves; Galliformes; Numididae. The record is from RNAcentral.